RNAcentral lists this unclassified non-coding RNA (650 nucleotides) under Hevea brasiliensis (rubber tree). Lineage: Eukaryota; Viridiplantae; Streptophyta; Magnoliopsida; Malpighiales; Euphorbiaceae. The record is from RNAcentral.
UCUCAUCGCCUGAUCAGGAUUCCGAACUUGUCUAGUAUUGCCCCAAAUGUCGAGUUUUUAUAUUUGGAAGAAUGUUCGAGUUUGGUUGAAAUUCCCUCUCUUCAAAAUCUGAGCAAGCUUACUGAACUUUAUUUAACUGGAUCCAAUAAAAUCAAAGAUUGUCCAGAGAUUCCGUGUAAUAUAAGGAUUCUAAAAUUAGACGGAACUGGAAUAGAACAACUGCCUUCAUCAAUUAAGCAUCUGUCUCAACUUGUCAUAUUGUCCUUGGAUGGGUGUACAGCACUCGAGAGUCUUCCAAGCAGCAUUGGCAAUUUGAAACGUCUUGAAGAACUUCAUCUAGCUGAAUGUUCAAGACUCGUGACUAUUCCAAGCAGCAUAGGCGAGUUGAAAUGUCUUGAAAAGUUAUUUCUCCGGAAUUGCUCAAAUUUAGCAAGUCUUCCUGAAAGCAUCAAACAACUUUCGAAGUUGAAACUGCUUGAUUUAAGAGAUUGCAAGAGUCUUAAGAGUUUACCAGAGCUUCCGUCAUGCUUAAAAUUAUUAAAAGCAAUUGAUUGCCACUCUCUGGAAUCUGCAUCAAUUUCUUUCAAUUUCUUAGAACAUGAUGAUGAAAAUGAAGAAGCAGAUAGAAGUGAACAUGAAAAUGAAGAAGC